AAUAGAUACCCCGAUAGUCCACGCCCUAAACGAUGUCAACUAGCUGUUGGGGUCUUCGGACCUUGGUAGCGCAGCUAACGCGUGAAGUUGACCGCCUGGGGAGUACGGUCGCAAGAUUAAAAACUCAAAGGAAUUGACGGGGACCCGCACAAGCGGUGGAUGAUGUGGAUUAAUUCGAUGCAACGCGAAAAACCUUACCUACCCUUGACAUGUCUGGAAUCCCGAAGAGAUUUGGGAGUGCUCGCAAGAGAACCGGAACACAGGUGCUGCAUGGCUGUCGUCAGCUCGUGUCGUGAGAUGUUGGGUUAAGUCCCGCAACGAGCGCAACCCUUGUCAUUAGUUGCUACGAAAGGGCACUCUAAUGAGACUGCCGGUGACAAACCGGAGGAAGGUGGGGAUGACGUCAAGUCCUCAUGGCCCUUAUGGGUAGGGCUUCACACGUCAUACAAUGGUCGGGACAGAGGGUCGCCAACCCGCGAGGGGGAGCCAAUCCCAGAAACCCGAUCGUAGUCCGGAUCGCAGUCUGCAACUCGACUGCGU
Molecule: ribosomal RNA, 540 nt
Filed under: uncultured bacterium
Lineage: Bacteria
Description: bacterial SSU rRNA
Rfam family: Bacterial small subunit ribosomal RNA
Source: RNAcentral